GCAAGCUACAAGUAAGCCAUUAGUCAUAAAUAUCCAAAUAGCGGUGAAACUUGCGAUACCGAGCACAGGAAGUGGGUGAUGUAGUGAACUUCCUACCCGGAGUUCAUUUUUUUCCUCGGAUGGUGAUGGUUAUGACUUCUCUUUCUUGGUAGUCUAAUAUGCUUUGCAUCCAAUGGAGUACUUGCUUUCGCUUUUGACUCCAGA
Molecule: unclassified non-coding RNA, 204 nt
Filed under: Hevea brasiliensis (rubber tree)
Lineage: Eukaryota; Viridiplantae; Streptophyta; Magnoliopsida; Malpighiales; Euphorbiaceae
Source: RNAcentral